GGGUAGUUUGACUGGGGCGGUCUCCUCCUAAAGAGUAACGGAGGAGCACGAAGGUUGGCUAAUCCUGGUCGGACAUCAGGAGGUUAGUGCAAUGGCAUAAGCCAGCUUGACUGCGAGCGUGACGGCGCGAGCAGGUGCGAAAGCAGGUCAUAGUGAUCCGGUGGUUCUGAAUGGAAGGGCCAUCGCUCAACGGAUAAAAGGUACUCCGGGGAUAACAGGCUGAUACCGCCCAAGAGUUCAUAUCGACGGCGGUGUUUGGCACCUCGAUGUCGGCUCAUCACAUCCUGGGGCUGAAGUAGGUCCCAAGGGUAUGGCUGUUCGCCAUUUAAAGUGGUACGCGAGCUGGGUUUAGAACGUCGUGAGACAGUUCGGUCCCUAUCUGCCGUGGGCGCUGGAGAACUGAGGGGGGCUGCUCCUAGUACGAGAGGACCGGAGUGGACGCAUCACUGGUGUUCGGGUUGUCAUGCCAAUGGCACUGCCCGGUAGCUAAAUGCGGAAGAGAUAAGUGCUGAAAGCAUCUAAGCACGAAACUUGCCCCGAGAUGAGUUCUCCCUGACUCCCUGAGAGUCCUGAAGGAACGUUGAAGACGACGACGUUGAUAGGCCGGGUGUGUAAGCGCAGCGAUGCGUUGAGCUAACCGGUACUAAUGAA
RNAcentral lists this ribosomal RNA (651 nucleotides) under Escherichia coli. RNAcentral's name for it is "partial 23S ribosomal RNA". It matches the Rfam family "Bacterial large subunit ribosomal RNA", at positions 2263 to 2908 of the family's 2925-position model. The record is from RNAcentral. Lineage: Bacteria; Pseudomonadati; Pseudomonadota; Gammaproteobacteria; Enterobacterales; Enterobacteriaceae.